This 256-nucleotide ribosomal RNA is filed under the name uncultured bacterium. RNAcentral's name for it is "partial 16S ribosomal RNA". It matches the Rfam family "Bacterial small subunit ribosomal RNA", at positions 524 to 776 of the family's 1533-position model. The record is from RNAcentral.
UACGAAGGGGGCUAGCGUUGUUCGGAAUUACUGGGCGUAAAGCGCGUGUAGGCGGGUCUUUAAGUCAGGGGGUGAAAUGCCAGGGCUCAACCUUGGAACUGCCUUUGAUACUGGAGACCUUGAGUCCGGGGAGAGGUGAGUGGAAUUGCGAGUGUAGAGGUGAAAUUCGUAGAUAUUCGCAAGAACACCAGUGGCGAAGGCGGCUCACUGGCCCGGAACUGACGCUGAGACGCGAAAAGCGUGGGGAGCAAACAGG